ACGUAGGGGGCGAGCGUUGUCCGAAUUCACUGGGCGUAAAGCGCGCGUAGGCGGACUAUUAAGUUGAUGGUGAAAUCCCGGGGCUCAACCUCGGAACUGCCUUCAAAACUGAUAGUCUUGAGGUUUGGAGAGGGAAUUGGAAUUCCAGGUGUAGCGGUGAAAUGCGUAGAUAUCUGGAGGAACACCCAUGGCGAAGGCAGAUUCCUGGCCAUAUCCUGACGCUGAGGUGCGAAAGCUAGGGUAGCGAACGGGAUUAGAUACCCCGGUAGUCCUAGCCGUAAACGAUGGAUACUAGGUGUUAGAGGUAUCGACCCCUCUAGUGCCGAAGCUAACGCAUUAAGUAUCCCGCCUGGGGAGUACGACCGCAAGGUUG
This 373-nucleotide ribosomal RNA is filed under the name uncultured bacterium. Its description in RNAcentral is "bacterial SSU rRNA". It matches the Rfam family "Bacterial small subunit ribosomal RNA", at positions 525 to 896 of the family's 1533-position model. The record is from RNAcentral.